GAUGAACGCUGGCGGCGUGCCUAAUACAUGCAAGUCGAGCGAACGGACGAGAAGCUUGCUUCUCUGAUGUUAGCGGCGGACGGGUGAGUAACACGUGGAUAACCUACCUAUAAGACUUGGAUAACUUCGGGAAACCGGAGCUAAUAACGGAUAAUAUUUUGAACCGCAUGGUUCAAAAGUGAAAGACGGUCUUGCUGUCACUUAUAGAUGGAUCCGCGCUGCAUUAGCUAGUUGGUAAGGUAACGGCUUACCAAGGCAACGAUGCAUAGCCGACCUGAGAGGGUGAUCGGCCACACUGGAACUGAGACACGGUCCAGACUCCUACGGGAGGCAGCAGUAGGGAAUCUUCCGCAAUGGGCGAAAGCCUGACGGAGCAACGCCGCGUGAGUGAUGAAGGUCUUCGGAUCGUAAAACUCUGUUAUUAGGGAAGAACAUAUGUGUAAGUAACUGUGCACAUCUUGACGGUACCUAAUCAGAAAGCCACGGCUAACUACGUG
Molecule: ribosomal RNA, 497 nt
Filed under: uncultured bacterium
Lineage: Bacteria
Description: partial 16S ribosomal RNA
Rfam family: Bacterial small subunit ribosomal RNA
Source: RNAcentral